This is a long non-coding RNA of Acinonyx jubatus (cheetah), 1562 nucleotides long. RefSeq lists it as uncharacterized. The record is from RefSeq and is a predicted model, not a curated record. NCBI's taxonomy places the organism in Eukaryota, Metazoa, Chordata, Mammalia, Carnivora, Felidae. The transcript has 6 exons.
UCAUUCUGCUUGACUAUCUGUGUUGGUUUCCAUGCAUGGUAAAGAACAGCCAUCUCUCCCAGUGUCGAAGAAGUGGUGUUGUGUAGGAGAUGAACCUUUUCGGUCAACCUUGCCUCAGCCCUUGGCCCUCUGUCACACUUUUGUGACUCUCCAAGGAGACUGUUUUAUUUUCAGUGGCUCCCAGAAGUUGCGGAUGUGUUAACACCAACACCAGUCAUUGUCCCAGAGGGGAGGGUCUCCAUCACCACCCAGAUGCAGGCCGACUAGAGGCCAGACCCUCAGGCAGCAGCUUUUACAGGGUGCAAGUAUAUACGGUCCAGGGGGACUGCAAGUGUGAGCUCGCCCUGCCCGCUCGAGCCAGGCGAUCUGGCAGUGUCCUCUAGGUGGCAGUGGUAAAAAUCGGGGCCCAGAUGAGUACAGAAGCGCUUAAUUAGGGGCGUUAGCUAACCAGCGCGAGCCAGGCCGAGGGGGAAGGCGAGGGUGGUGCCCUCCAGGCUCCCUUCCCUCAGAGCGAGUCUGGAGCCGCUAAGCGUGUGCCUAACCUCAAACCCGCCUCUCAGCCCAGCGCUGCAGGCCGGCAAGUAGGCCUCUUUCACAGAAAGAUGUAGGGUCGUCUGUGCGGUGCGCUGGGGUGGCAGUCCGCCGAGAACCUACUCCAGCUCCAGGGACCGGAGGGUAACCCCGCCACGCCACCGCCACCGCUAGAGCUAGCCGGCCCCUAGGGGGCAGGCGCAGGAAGGGGGCCCUGGCAGUCACGUGUGAGCUCCGCUCCCAGAGAUCCUGGCCCUCUCCCGCGCCCAGAGGUGGAUGGCACCCACCAGCUAGAACGAGGCAGGGUGAGCCCUGCCAGGAAAAACAAAAAACAAAAAGAUGGCGCCGCGUUGCUGGAAAGAAGCCGAGGGGGAGCUUGUAAAUGGCGCCCGCAGAGGAAGAGCGCAAAGGUGGUGCCCACCGGCCCCAGCGUGAUGCUUUGGAAGCUUGCUCCUCAGACCACCACUCGCCCGUACCGUCCUGGCGUCUCUCUGGCUGCCUCUGCAGUGACCCCCGGUGCAGGCAGAUGUCCUGGAUCUAAUCCAGGAUUUAACUGAUUCAAGGUUGUUGGGUCCAGUGGAAACCUUGAGACCCCUCCUCCCUGGCUGGCUCUGAAGUCCAAUAUUUGUCUUCUCGGCAUGGUCAUAAAGAGAAGAAAGAGCCAGGAAAGAGUCGGAAUACAUGUUUGCAGACAGCUAGGACCUGCCACGCAUCUGCUUCUGCUGUUACUCCUGGAACUCCAGCUUCCUCGGGACCCACUGGGCCACUCAGGGUGACAGCCACAUAUUGCUAAUCCUUCCUGAGGACUUUCAGCGAGAGGAAAAUGUCAACGAGGAGAUCGUCAUUUGGGGAAGAAGUGAAAACCACACAAGGAAAAGAAACUGAAAAGAAGUGGAGCUAAAGAAGAGAAUCAGUCAUUAUAAACUCCCCUGGCCAAAGGCCAGUGUUGCAUAAAAACGGCAGGUCUUAAGGAUGCCUUGACACUGUAUUGUAAGAACCUAAAAUGCUUCGCUGCUCUUAUAUAUACAACG